UACGAAGGGGGCUAGCGUUGCUCGGAAUUACUGGGCGUAAAGGGCGCGUAGGCGGCGCUGCAAGUCAGGCGUGAAAUUCCUGGGCUUAACCUGGGGGCUGCGCUUGAGACUGUGGUGCUAGAGGAUGGAAGAGGCUCGUGGAAUUCCCAGUGUAGAGGUGAAAUUCGUAGAUAUUGGGAAGAACACCGGUGGCGAAGGCGGCGAGCUGGUCCAUUACUGACGCUGAGGCGCGACAGCGUGGGGAGCAAACAGG
RNAcentral lists this ribosomal RNA (253 nucleotides) under uncultured bacterium. RNAcentral describes it as "partial 16S ribosomal RNA". It matches the Rfam family "Bacterial small subunit ribosomal RNA", at positions 524 to 776 of the family's 1533-position model. The record is from RNAcentral.